GGAAUAUUGGACAAUGGGGGGAACCCUGAUCCAGCCAUGCCGCGUGUGUGAAGAAGGCCUUUUGGUUGUAAAGCACUUUAAGCGAGGAGGAGGCUCCUAUAGAUAAUACCUAUAGAGAGUGGACGUUACUCGCAGAAUAAGCACCGGCUAACUCUGUGCCAGCAGCCGCGGUAAUACAGAGGGUGCAAGCGUUAAUCGGAUUUACUGGGCGUAAAGCGUACGUAGGUGGUCUUUUAAGUCGGAUGUGAAAUCCCUGAGCUUAACUUAGGAAUUGCAUUCGAUACUGGGAGACUAGAGUAUGGGAGAGGAUGGUAGAAUUCCAGGUGUAGCGGUGAAAUGCGUAGAGAUCUGGAGGAAUACCGAUGGCGAAGGCAGCCAUCUGGCCUAAUACUGACACUGAGGCACGAAAGCAUGGGGAGCAAACAGGAUUAGAUACCCCUG
RNAcentral lists this ribosomal RNA (441 nucleotides) under uncultured Acinetobacter sp. RNAcentral's name for it is "bacterial SSU rRNA". It matches the Rfam family "Bacterial small subunit ribosomal RNA", at positions 358 to 789 of the family's 1533-position model. Lineage: Bacteria; Pseudomonadati; Pseudomonadota; Gammaproteobacteria; Moraxellales; Moraxellaceae. The record is from RNAcentral.